Molecule: long non-coding RNA, 4944 nt
Filed under: Olea europaea (common olive)
Lineage: Eukaryota; Viridiplantae; Streptophyta; Magnoliopsida; Lamiales; Oleaceae
Description: long non-coding RNA (OEUR_LNC006665)
Source: RNAcentral
GUUCAUUACGAAUUGCUGCCCUUUUUGUUUUAAUUAUCCUAAGCAUUAGCUAUAGUUUGGAUCUUUUGAUUUAUUGAUCAUGGGUGCUUUUAUUCAGAGUUGGUAAAAGUAAAUCUUCUAUAAAGCAACUAAUACUUGACUUCUAUUGUGUGAGCAUUAGAUUUUUGAAAUGCUGGAUUUCAAACUACAAUCUUUGCAAAAUUCAGAAGAUAGCCCAAUAGGGAAGAGAAGUUUCUAAAUUUUGAAUACAUGCACAUAUAAUACAAUUAGAUAUCCAAUGAUUUCCAUUCUGUUAAAGGAAGUAGAUAUGGCUUGAAGAGUAAAACAUGAAUGUAUAUCUUUGGUUGUUCAGGGGCAUAUAAAAGGUGAAAAGUUGGUAGGGCUGGCCUUGUCCUUUGUUAAAUAUUAUAAAGAUAGACUUUGUUAGUGACGGUUGUUGACUUGCUGCUAUGUAUGUAACUUACACAGAUUGCUUGUGGUACCUCCUUUACUGGAAAAAAGCUGUUUACUUCAAUUGUUUAUGUGCUUGUUAAAAAUGUUAUAUUUGCAACUUCUGCCUUGCAUUGAUAGUAUUAUUUUUCUUAGUCAUCAAGUCAGGAUACAACAGCUCUCUUUUGGUUGAAUUCACAAUCGACUGAAAAGGUAAAUGCAAAAUUCAGUGCUCAAGAAGUUGGCAGUGAUGUGGUGUAAAGGAAAGCAAAGGAAAAAAAAAAUUCAUUCAGCCUAAUCUUCAGCUUUUACUUUCAUUUUGUUGAUUUGAGCACUGCUGGAUAAGACUACUGUUACAAAAACUCAUAAAAUUGACUGGUUAUUAUGGAAAGAAAAACAAUGGUUUUACAAUUUUUUCAGCAGAAUGCCACUUGUUCAUAUAACGGCUAGGUAUAAGCUACCUGGUAGAGUGUCUAUAAGGAUAAAUGGUUGGUAUGAGAUAAUUGUUGGCUUUUUAAGAGUUUAUUUUAUCAAUGAUCUGACGCUUUGUUUGCAUUCCGAAGAAUAAUCAGUUUGGAGCUUUCAACACAGCCUACAAUAUAUUUUUUACUGAGUCUCUCUUGGUGAGCUAAGUAAUUCAUUACUAAUGUUUUACCAUCGAUUCUUUUUCUUGAAGGUUGUGAUAGAGCCCCAAUCAAUUACACCUAUUCUAGAAGGUUCAAGAAGGCUGUGGGAAGUAACAAAUUAUGUUGACUAAAGAUGACAUGGCUAGAGUUAGUUACAAAUAGGGUUUAUAAAUAGAAUAGAGGAAUGGAGUCGGGGGAUAGGAAAAAAAGAUUGUGAGUGAAGUUAUAUUAGGAGAGUAAGGCCCUCUCGAGUGGCCACUGUUCGUUUCUAUUUUUGAGUUUUAAUACCCGUUCCAUCAAUAUAAAAGAACUUUUUCCUGCAUUUUCUCCUGUUCGUUCUUGUUGCUACAGGUUGGAACCUAUCAAUUGGUAUCAGAGCACACCAAUCAUCCACCACAGCCGUGACUCUUACUAAUCGAGUUGCAGAGUUAGAACAAAAAGUGGAGAGCCAUUACCAUGACAUACAGACGGGGAUUGAAGCACUAUGUUCGGAAUUUCAAUUGAUGCACUCAGGGAUGAUGGACAAGUUCGAAUUGCUGUUGCGAACUUGGAAAAAUCAAGAAAAGGGGAGAAAGGAAAAGGGCCCUGCUAUUGGAGAAUCACUGGUGAUCUCUACUGAUUCUGGGUUAACUGAAAUCCGACCAAGUCCUAACCAAAACAGUGGAGGAGGUUUAUGGGCUGAAGGGAGGAUAGAAUCUCGAAUCAGACGGCUAGAGAUGCCGGUGUUCGAAGGGACUGAUCCAGAUGGUUGGAUUUUUUGGGUGGAGCGAUAUUUCCUCAUUAAUAGGCUGGUUGAGGAAGAGAAAGUGAAAGUAGCUACUGUUUGUUUCAAUGGCAAGGCACUAGCUUGGUACAAAUGGGAAGAAAAACGGCGGCCAAUGAGAAACUGGGAGGAGUUGAAAGUACAGUUGCUGCGACGGUUUCGGCCAUCACAAGAAGGGUCUCUUUAUGCCCAGUUUUUGUCCCUCAGGAAGAGCUCUAUCGUUUGAAAAUAUUGCUGGCGGCUUGAAACCUUGGCUUCGCCAUUAACAGAGGUCUCUGAGGAGAUUUUGGAGUGCAAUUUUUUGAAUGGGUUAAACCCAACAAUAUGGGCUGAAGUUAACUUAUUCUGACCCGUGGGCCUAGAGCAAAUAAUGGAAGUAGCCCAAAUGAUUGAAACUCGGAAUCUAAUAACCCAAAAGGGCCCAUGGCAGGAUGACCCAAUUAAACCCAAAAGUAUCCCCUUUCACAACCCAAAUCCACCCCCCUUCACUCAACUCAAAUCUAACCCAGCUUCCCAGCCCUGUUAACAAGCAAUCAGUACCCUUAAACCUUAUCCCGACUCGUCCAAACCACUACAAACAACUCACAGACGCAGAAAUUCAGACAAAGAGAGAACAAGGCUUAUGCUAUCGUUGUGAUAAGAAAUAUACAACUGCACACAAGUUUAAAAAUAAGGAGUUGCAAGUUCUUGUAAUUAGAGAGCUGGAAGAGGUGAUGGACAGCAAAGUCAUGACCAACGGUAGUGAGAGGGAGGAACUUGUUUCGGGCAAGCAAGAGCUGAACGGGUUAGGAUGCUGGGCCAGCAACAAUCAAGUAUGCUUUCCACCUUGAGGACAAGGUGACUGAAAUGGGAGGGGUAUUGAUAGAGCUCCAAUCAAUUACACCUAUUCUAGAAGGUUCAAGAAGGCUAUGGGCAGUAACAAAUUAUGUUGAGUAAAGAUGACAUGGCUAGAGUUAGUUACGAAUAGGAUUUAUAAAUAGAAUAGAGGAAUGGAGUCGGGGGAUAGGAAAAAAAGAUUGUGAGUGAAGUUAUAUUAGGAGAGUAAGGCCCUCUCGAAUGGCCACCGUUCGUUUCUAUUUUUGAGUUUUAUACCCGUUCCAUCAAUAUAAAAGAACUUUUUCCUGCAUUUUCUCCUGUUCUUUCUUGUUGCAACAGGUUGGAACCUAUCAGGUUGAUCAGUCUUAAUGUUUGACAGCGAAUCUGGGACUUCUCAGAGCAGACAAAACAGUUAUUCAUGAAAAAUAGAUAGUUAUUUAGGGAGUCAGGCCACUCAGAUGAAGAGGUACUUAAAUAUGUUACUGUUGUUGAAUGUUUAUGUUUGCUAUGAUCAGAGGCUGUUGAGAUAUGUGCGGAAGUUUGCAAACCUGUGAUAAACAUAAUGCUUACCUAGCCCAUGUUUGGCCUCCAUUCUUAUCUCAUUCUCAUUCUUUUUUCUCUCUCUUAUUUUCAACGACACAAUCUUCCAUAAAAUAAUAUUACACACAAAUAAAAAAAAUUUCAUUCUUUUUCGACCACACAUUUUUCAAAAAAACACUAUUCCAUCCAUUAAAAUUAGCUAAGAAUGGGGGCCAAACACCCGCCUAGUCUCUAUGGGAAAACAGAUGUGACAUGAAGUUUAUCUUAUUUGAUUAAAAUAAAUGUUUCAUUUAAGUCAAGGGCAAAGUAGAAUUUGUAACAAAAAAUAUUCACAAUAGAAGGAAAAUGCAUUUGUUUUACAACUGUGAAUUAUGUGUAUUACUGUCGUGCAUUUGCAAUAGAGCAGAAAUGAUGUCUGGGAUGUAUGUAUCAAAAGCACAUGUACUGGUAGGCAUCUGUUAGCUGCUCAAAAAUUAUGCUUGCUAAGUACUAGCUAUUUUCUAUUUUUCUUAGUUACUGCAUUUGUAGAUGGAUGUAUCAGUUUCUAAAAAUUGAUUUGUUUUAUUGCUUCAUUUCUUCUCUUUUACUGAGUAAUUUCAUGCACGAGUACACUGCGUGUUAUUGCCUAUGCAAUUGACCUGUGCUUUUCUGUAUGUGAUGUUGUAUUAUAAUCAGCAUUUGGACUUGUGCUUUUAGCAUAAAGCGUUCAUGGUUUUGGCCUGGGAAUUCUGACUCUUGAUGAACUUCUGGUUUCUGUCUUUCUGAAAAUGAAUUAUCAUUGAUGUUCUGGUUUUUGUCUUGCUCAGUCUUCUAAUUUUGGUUGGAAUACUUUUAGGAUGGAUAUCUAUAAUCAAUAUUCUCAUUUUGAUUAUAAAACAUCAUCUGGGUCAUGAUGCCCUCGAACUUUUAUGCUUUGGAUUUGGAUAUAUUUCCUUAUCUUGUUUGAUAUCUAAUUGCUCUCUAUGUUCUUGUUUGGCAUUUUUGUAAGUAUAUUGUUUUGGAGUUGCAAGUCUAUGGGUUUCCCUUAUUCUAAGGCUAGAGAAAAGGGAAAAGAGGAUAUGAUGGUGGAACAGCCCAGGAUUGAUGUUCCCAAGCCAAAUUUUGAGACCAGGGGGUAAGGAUCAUUGUUUUACUAUCAAAAGAGAAAAAAUAAUAAUAAUAAUAAAUAAAUAAAGCUAGUUUGUAUUCUAGAAAUGAGCACAAUCCACCACUUGGUAGGGUCUUUUACUCUUAGGACAGCUAUUAACGAGGGAAAUGCUUUUCUUAAUAUGAAAUUUAGCCUAAACUGUCUCCGGAGCCAAUAAAGUACAUAACCAGGCGCACGAUAACAUGAAGUUUGAAGUGGCACAUAAGAUAUAUAAUUGUCUAUCUUUAUGCUUUAGUUUCUAUUUAAGAAAGUUGGCUAAGUUUUUUCUUUUAGACUUUCAUUAAUCAGGUGUCACGUCACGCGUCCCCCUCUAAAAGUUUGUAUUUUGUUUUUGUUUUUAGCAUCAAUAAAACUCUACCUUUAUGGAUAUAUACUUGGAUGUACGAUGAAGCGAAAUACAAAGUUGGUACAUGAGAUACCGUACGAUGAAGUCAAGUAGUUCCCUUCCCCUCCCUUAAACGUAAAGAAUCCACGUUUGAUUUUAUUUACAAAUUCUGAGUGUCCAAUGUAUUUAUAAAGUUUAAUUACUAGAACUUGCUAAUGAAAUGCUAUUAUUGGUAACAUAAUUGUAAGGAACUUUCUGUACUUAUAAAUAAAUGUCAAAUACUUGUGUGGUUGGAUAA